AUUUUCUCAAUUCCACAACACAUACACUAAAAUUAAAAUAUACAGAGAAGAUUAGCAUGGACCCUGAGCAAGGAUAACAUGCAAAUUUGUGAAGUAAUCCACAUUUUA
Molecule: non-coding RNA, 108 nt
Organism: Ictidomys tridecemlineatus (thirteen-lined ground squirrel)
Lineage: Eukaryota; Metazoa; Chordata; Mammalia; Rodentia; Sciuridae
Source: Rfam